UACGUACCUAAAAACCAUUUGCGAUCGAUCAGAGGCUUCCAUGCGAUAUGACGGACGAUCGACGAGUCAUAAACCGAAUCGAAGGAAGCGAGUGCGAGAGAGAAAGAUCGCCUAAUGUGCCACGAAAACUAUGUACCGGGGAGCCAGUAUGGCGCCGUCCUUCGUUUAUCUCUUUCUCUAACCCCUUUCACUCUUUCACGCACACACGCAUACAUUCGUCCCUUCUCUUUCAUCGCUUUCCAUCUCACUUUUCUGCUACGUUCGUAAGUGCCCGUCCGACCCUCUCUCUAUACCCCGAUCUUCUUCAUUCGCCUCUUUUCACUAUACACGUAUAUUCCUUCCCUGUCUCUCUUGUGUUCGUUAUGUUCACAUGUAUGCGCCUCGCCGGUCUCACUCUCACCACCACCUUCUUCCUCACUAUUUCGUGUUAACCACGCGCAUACACGUUCGACACUUGACUGUCACCGGCGCGCACGGGAUCGUUGAAUUAGUCGAGGACUAGAUUAUGUUAAGAUUAUGACACGAUUCCAAAUUCCACUGACUAUAAAAUAAUCAUCAAGUCACCGACGACAAACAACGAAUACACUAUUAGAGCAAGAUGGAACACCACGAAAGUGACACAAGUCGACUGAAGCGUUGGGGCCAGAGACAGAGGCGGACAAACAGCAAAUGUAGAAUGGAAAUCAGCCACGAAUCGAGCCGGUUUUUCGAUGCGUACCACGCGGAACCGACGACCACACGUAAACGCACCAGACACACCGUGUGGAGAUGCUUCUCGAUGGCGGCCUCGAAUUCUCAGUCCCGGACGACGCCUACACCACCACCACGUACCACCUUAAUAGCUGUGCUUUCCCGGACUCACGGGACUCGACUGGGCUCCGCCAGGCCACGAUACCCCCGCCGCACUUGCGCCAACCGGCUAUUGCUCCUACCCUUCGCGAAGAUAUACUAACCGUUCCUCGUUCUUACGCCCACCCCCAGCGCAGUUCUAUUACCCGUGCAGACUAACUGAACCCCUGCGGAGCUCCCACGCCCGCGAAACAGCCAAUGCUGGAGCCUCUCCGCAGGACCGUCUAACCUCGGCCAAGGGCGCCAACCUACCGAAUACGUUUUCUGUUUCUUAACCAACAUUAUGAUACACCGGUAUAGAAGCAAUGUUUUAUGGUUAUUAAUUAUUGUUAGAAGUAUCGGUAGUAGUAGAAUUAAAAUUCAUUCUUAAGUAAUAAAAACUGAUCGUCGACAAAGGGUUUUUAACAGUGCAAAUAAAUAUAAAGUAAGUUUUGUUGAAUGGAAUGAAAUUAAAGUAGAUAAAUAUAUAUAGAUUUUCUACUUAAAGGCUUUGCGUAGGAUUAUUGUAGGUUAAGAAAUAAGUAGAAUUUAUUACGUAGGGUAUACAUUUGUAAAACGAGGGUCCCAAUUCCUCAAUAUACGGGUCUAGCACUCGCCCCGUUGAAUCGUGUUGUGACUGGGUAAACGAACGAAAUACUCUAAUGGUCUACGUUCGUCUGUUUCCAUUUGUUUCUUCGAACCCACGAAACAAAGGACAAUCGCGUGAUAAUAUUUUAAUCAUUGUUUCAUUCCGAUUUUAUAAAAUCGCGUCAAACAAAGAGAAUUACAUAUGUAUAACAUUACACAACUUUAAUGACAAGUAUA
Long non-coding RNA from Bombus pascuorum, 1653 nucleotides. RefSeq lists it as uncharacterized. The transcript has 3 exons. The record is from RefSeq and is a predicted model, not a curated record. Lineage: Eukaryota; Metazoa; Arthropoda; Insecta; Hymenoptera; Apidae.